RNAcentral lists this non-coding RNA (29 nucleotides) under Homo sapiens (human). The record is from RNAcentral. Lineage: Eukaryota; Metazoa; Chordata; Mammalia; Primates; Hominidae.
UGAGAAGAGUCCAGAGACAAGGAGAUGGU